UACGUAGGGUGCGAGCGUUAAUCGGAAUUACUGGGCGUAAAGCGUGCGCAGGCGGCUAUUUAAGCUUGCUGUGAAAGCCCCGGGCUUAACCUGGGAACUGCAGUGAGGACUGGAUGGCUGGAGUGUGGCAGAGGGGGGUGGAAUUCCACGUGUAGCAGUGAAAUGCGUAGAGAUGUGGAGGAACACCGAUGGCGAAGGCAGCCCCCUGGGCUAACACUGACGCUCAGGCACGAAAACGUGGGGAGCAAACAGG
This 253-nucleotide ribosomal RNA is filed under the name uncultured bacterium. RNAcentral describes it as "partial 16S ribosomal RNA". It matches the Rfam family "Bacterial small subunit ribosomal RNA", at positions 524 to 776 of the family's 1533-position model. The record is from RNAcentral.